Molecule: long non-coding RNA, 1032 nt
Filed under: Anser brachyrhynchus (Pink-footed goose)
Lineage: Eukaryota; Metazoa; Chordata; Aves; Anseriformes; Anatidae
Description: lncRNA (ENSABRG00000005568.1)
Source: RNAcentral
AUGUGCUUCAACUACCAGGUCAGUGUGCUGUGCUGUGACCGCAACCACUGCGAGACAACACCAAGCACCACGCCAAGCUCCUCAACUACGCCCACUCCUGCAGAAACGUCCACUGAGACAACCCAGACUCCCGCACCACCCACUCCUUCCUCUACUCUACCCGAGCCGACAACGCCAACCAGUGCUGGCACCACGGUUGUGCUCAAGACCAGUAUCCCUCCAACACGGGGCACGACCAUCAUCAGCACAUCCACAGCGCCCACCUCACCCACCAGCACUACUGCCUCUACCCUUCCCCAGUCAACGAUGACGACCACCACCAGCACCAUGGUGAUCAGCAGGACCUCCACCUCUCCGGCACAGAGCACAACCACUUUCACAGCCCCAAGCAGUGCCAGCACCGCCAAGUCCUCUACUCUUGUGACAGAGCCCAAAACCACCAUCAUUACCACACCAACGUCCUCCACAACAUCCAUUCCGGUGGAAACAUCCACUGUGGCUACCCAGACUCCAUCAUCAGGCAGUACUGCCUCUACCCUCCCCAACACAACGAUUCCAUGGAAGACAGGGACUACAGUUAUUCUUCCAACUUCUGUUUCUUCUACCAGCCAAAGUACCACCACCUCUAUAUUUCCCACUAGGUUUACCACCACUGGUAGCCCAGGUAUGUCAUUGUCAAUCUCUCUUAUGUUUGGAAGCAGUUACACUGUUAUAAGAGCAUUGCUGUCUUUAUCACCUAGUUCAACGUGCUGCUUCUGGGUUGGGUCUAUCCCAGACAGGAUUACAGACUGGGGGACGAACUCAUUGAGAGCAGAAUCCAGACAGGGACUUGAUGGUUCUGGUGGUCAAAAGUCUUGCCAUGAACCAGCAGCUUGUGUUUGGAGUCCAGAAGCCCAACUGAGUCCUGGGCUACAUCAAAAGAGUUGUGACCAGCAGGUCCAGGAAGAUGAUUGUUCCCCUGUACUCUGCCCUCAUGAGGCCCUGCCUGGAAUACUGCAUCCAGGUUUGGGGCCCCCAGCACAAGAAAGAUGA